UACUUGGUUGAUCCUGCCAAGGAAGCACACUUAGGUCAUAGAUUAAGCCAUGCAAGUGUUAGUUCAGGUAACGAAACUGCGAAUAGCUCAUUAAUACGCUCAGAAUCUAUUUGGCGGCGACCAACAGGUCUUAAAUGGAUAGCAGCAGCAACUCUGGUGCUAAUACAUGCGAUUGUUUCUCCAGAUGUGAAUUAUGGAGGAAAAGUUGACCUCAUCAGAGGCACGCCAUUCGACUGAGUGACCUAUCAGCUUGUACUUAGGGUCUUUACCUAGGUAGGCUAUCACGGGUAACGGGCGGUUACCGUCGGACUGCCGGAGAAGGCGCCUGAGAGAUAGCGACUAUAUCCACGGGUAGCAGCAGGCGCGAAACUUUCCCACUCGAGACUUUCGGAGGAGGUAAUGACCAGUUCCAUUGGUGCCUUUUGGUACUGUGGAUAGGGGUACGGUUUUCCACCGUACCGAAACCUAGCAGAGGGCCAGUCUGGUGCCAGCAGCUGCGGUAAUUCCAGCUCUGCGAGUUUGCUCCCAUAUUGUUGCAGUUAAAACGCCCGUAGUCUGAAUUGGCCAGCAAUGGUCGUACGUAUUUUUACGUUCACUGUGAACAAAUCAGGACGCUUAGAGUAGGCCACAGA
RNAcentral lists this non-coding RNA (632 nucleotides) under Trichomonas vaginalis G3. Its description in RNAcentral is "Eukaryotic small subunit ribosomal RNA". It matches the Rfam family "Eukaryotic small subunit ribosomal RNA", at positions 1 to 791 of the family's 1831-position model. The record is from Rfam by way of RNAcentral. Lineage: Eukaryota; Parabasalia; Trichomonadida; Trichomonadidae.